This 518-nucleotide ribosomal RNA is filed under the name uncultured Actinomycetes bacterium. RNAcentral describes it as "bacterial SSU rRNA". It matches the Rfam family "Bacterial small subunit ribosomal RNA", at positions 370 to 897 of the family's 1533-position model. Lineage: Bacteria; Bacillati; Actinomycetota; Actinomycetes. The record is from RNAcentral.
AAUGGGCGAAAGCCUGAUCCAGCAACGCCGCGUGAGGGAUGACGGCCUCGGGUUGUAAACCUCUUUCUAGCGGGGACGAAGCGCAAGUGACGGUACCCGCAGAAGAAGCACCGGCCAACUACGUGCCAGCAGCCGCGGUAAUACGUAGGGUGCGAGCGUUGUCCGGAAUUAUUGGGCGUAAAGAGCUCGUAGGCGGUUUGUCACGUCGGGAGUGAAAACUCGGGGCUUAACUCCGAGCUUGCUUCCGAUACGGGCAGGCUAGAGGCAUGCAGGGGAGAACGGAAUUCCUGGUGUAGCGGUGAAAUGCGCAGAUAUCAGGAGGAACACCGGUGGCGAAGGCGGUUCUCUGGGCAUGUCCUGACGCUGAGGAGCGAAAGUGUGGGGAGCGAACAGGAUUAGAUACCCUGGUAGUCCACACCGUAAACGUUGGGCGCUAGGUGUGGGGUCCAUUCCACGGAUUCCGUGCCGCAGCUAACGCAUUAAGCGCCCCGCCGUGGGGAGUACGGCCGCAAGGACUA